Trachemys scripta elegans is the source of this 361-nucleotide long non-coding RNA. RefSeq lists it as uncharacterized. The transcript is spliced from 3 exons. The record is from RefSeq and is a predicted model, not a curated record. Lineage: Eukaryota; Metazoa; Chordata; Testudines; Emydidae.
AAUUAACAUGUAAUGAUAAAUAGACAGAUAGAUAGAUAGUAUAAGCUAUUCUUUCUACCAUCUGCCGUACGGAUUUGCUCUGUAGAGCUUGCUGUCCCUGUUACUCAUGGGUAUUUAUGUUCCAAAGCCCCACAUGAGAGAGGGAAGGAUUUCAGGCCCAAGGCCCAAGUGGGGCAAGAAGAAGCACACGCUCACCUCAGUUGCCUUCUUUGCUGAGGCCAGAAGGGCUGAGGUGCUGUUUCCCGAGGAGCUGUUCCAGGACUAGCGAGGAGCCUUUCCAAGCGUCACAGAAGUACGGGCCAGAGUUAACAUGGCAUAGAGUUGUUUGUUGCAUAAUAGAGCUGCUGCUGAUUUCCAAGUG